GAUGAACGCUGGCGGCGUGCCUAAUACAUGCAAGUCGAGCGAAUGGAUUAAGAGCUUGCUCUUAUGAAGUUAGCGGCGGACGGGUGAGUAACACGUGGGUAACCUGCCCAUAAGACUGGGAUAACUCCGGGAAACCGGGGCUAAUACCGGCUAACAUUUUGAACCGCAUGGUUCGACAUUAAACGGCGGCUUCGGCUGUCACUUAUGGAUGGACCCGGGUCGCAUUAGCUAGUUGGUGAGGUAACGGCUCACCAAGGCAACGAUGCGUAGCCGACUUGAGAGGGUGAUCGGCCACACUGGGACUGCGACACGGCCAAGACUCCUACGGGAGGCAGCAGUAGGGAAUCUUCCGUAAUGGACGAAAGUCUGACGGAGCAACGCCGCGUGAGUGAUGAAGGCUUUCGGGUCGUAAAACUCUGUUGUUAGGGAAGAACAAGUGCUAGUUGAAUAAGCUGGCACCUUGACGGUACCUAACCAGAAAGCCACGGCUAACUACGUGCCAGCCGCCGCAGUAA
This 515-nucleotide ribosomal RNA is filed under the name uncultured bacterium. Its description in RNAcentral is "partial 16S ribosomal RNA". It matches the Rfam family "Bacterial small subunit ribosomal RNA", at positions 28 to 523 of the family's 1533-position model. The record is from RNAcentral.